UUCCUCUGCCGCCCCGCAGGGCUGCUUGGACAGCUGUGGCUUGCCGGCACGAAGGCCACGAAGCUGCAGAUCAACCAGUGAGUAUGUGUUCUGUCCUCUUCCCAACUUCCUGCACAGCCUGAGCUCCAGACGCGAUGCACAGCAGAGUGGCGCAGGCCGGGGUCUCUCAGUGUUAAUUCUGAGCGCGGCUCCCAGAGGCCAAAGACAGGCGAGGCAGGAGCGCUGCUGCUAUUGAAGGAUGGAGGCAUGGAAUAUGAACUGAAGUCCAGAGUGUCCCCCGGAAGUCUCUAUAUGGCAAAACCCCAGCUGGCCAUCAGGAGCAGGAAAAGCAAGGCAGCACGAUCAGGAAAGGGGUCAGGAAUGACUCUGAAAGGCUGGGCCUUGGGACAGCAGGAAGGGCUUCAUGCUGAGAGCACCGGCUUGGACCAUCAGAGUAAGAGAUGGGGCAGUGUCUAAGGAAUCUCAGUGGACUCAGCCAGGAAAGCUGCGAAGAAGUCUCAGUUAAACCUUAUGAGGAGCAAGAAAAAAGUGGUUUGAUUAUAGUCUCCUUAAGGAACCUGUGAAGCUUCCCCACAGC
This is a long non-coding RNA of Cercocebus atys (sooty mangabey), 577 nucleotides long. RefSeq lists it as uncharacterized. The record is from RefSeq and is a predicted model, not a curated record. NCBI's taxonomy places the organism in Eukaryota, Metazoa, Chordata, Mammalia, Primates, Cercopithecidae. The transcript is spliced from 3 exons.